Long non-coding RNA from Chelonia mydas (Green sea turtle), 242 nucleotides. RefSeq lists it as uncharacterized. The record is from RefSeq and is a predicted model, not a curated record. The transcript is spliced from 3 exons. NCBI's taxonomy places the organism in Eukaryota, Metazoa, Chordata, Testudines, Cheloniidae.
UGGAAGAGGCCCUGGAGGUUUUUCACCUUCCUCUGCAGCAUGGGGCAUGGGUCACUUGCAUGUUUAAAUUAGUGUAAAUGGCAGAUUCUCUGUAACUUGAAGUCCUUAAAUCAUGAUUUGAGGACUUCAGAAACUUAGCCAGAGGUUAUAAGUCUAUUACAGGAAUGGGUGGGUGAGGUUCUGCGAUCUGCAAUGUGCAGGAGGUGAGACUAGAUGAUCAUGAUGGUCUCUUCUGGCCUUAA